RNAcentral lists this long non-coding RNA (232 nucleotides) under Triticum aestivum (bread wheat). RNAcentral's name for it is "long non-coding RNA (TAES_LNC009119)". Lineage: Eukaryota; Viridiplantae; Streptophyta; Magnoliopsida; Poales; Poaceae. The record is from RNAcentral.
AACCCUAGACACAGGCUAGCUAAUCUGGUGGCGGCCUAGCCUCCGAAUCCGUAGAGGGUGCGUCCCUGGCGCUUGAGCGCGUAGACGACGUCCAUGGCGGUGACGGUCUUGCGGCGGGCGUGCUCGGUGUAGGUGACGGCGUCACGGAUGACGUUCUCGAGGAAGAUCUUGAGCACGCCGCGGGUCUCCUCGUAGAUGAGACCCGAGAUGCGCUUCACGCCGCCCCGCCGCG